GAGAGUAUAGCUCAGUGGUAGAGGGCAUGCUUAGUUAGCAUGCACAAGGUCCUAGGUUCAAACCCCAGUACCUCCU
RNAcentral lists this transfer RNA (76 nucleotides) under Camelus bactrianus (Bactrian camel). It matches the Rfam family "tRNA". Rfam says of the family: Transfer RNA (tRNA) molecules are approximately 80 nucleotides in length. Their secondary structure includes four short double-helical elements and three loops (D, anti-codon, and T loops). The record is from Rfam by way of RNAcentral. Lineage: Eukaryota; Metazoa; Chordata; Mammalia; Artiodactyla; Camelidae. RNAcentral also lists the same sequence under 2 other names.